RNAcentral lists this non-coding RNA (21 nucleotides) under Caenorhabditis elegans. Lineage: Eukaryota; Metazoa; Nematoda; Chromadorea; Rhabditida; Rhabditidae. The record is from RNAcentral.
UCCAGUAUUUUGUAGAUGGAU